UACGUAGGGACCAAGCGUUGUUCGGAUUUACUGGGCGUAAAGGGCGCGUAGGCGGCGUGUUAAGUCAGCUGUGAAAUCUCCGAGCUUAACUCGGAACGGUCAGCUGAUACUGAUGUGCUAGAGUGCAGAAGGGGCAAUCGGAAUUCUUGGUGUAGCGGUGAAAUGCGUAGAUAUCGUAAGGAAGACCAGUGGCGAAGGCGAGUUUCUGGACAGUUACUGACGCUGAGGCACGAAGGCCAGGGGAGCAAACGGG
Molecule: ribosomal RNA, 253 nt
Filed under: uncultured bacterium
Lineage: Bacteria
Description: partial 16S ribosomal RNA
Rfam family: Bacterial small subunit ribosomal RNA
Source: RNAcentral